CAAUAGCGUAUAUUUAAGUUGUUGCAGUUAAAAAGCUCGUAGUUGGAUUUCGGGUGGGACGCAGCGGUCUCGCAUUGCGUUUGUACUGCUGCAGCCCUCCUUCUUGCCGGGGGCGGCCUCUCGGACUUCACUGUCUGGGGGUCAGAAUCGGCGAUGUUACUUUGAGUAAAUUAGAGUGUUCAAAGCAAGCUUACGCUCUGAAUAUAAUAGCAUGGGAUAACACGACAGGACUCUGGCCUAUCGUGUUGGUCUAUAGGACCAGAGUAAUGAUUAAGAGGGACAGUCGGGGGCAUUCGUAUUCCGUUGUCAGAGGUGAAAUUCUUGGAUUUACGGAAGACGAACAUCUGCGAAAGCAUUUGCCAGGGAUGUUUUCAUUGA
Molecule: ribosomal RNA, 378 nt
Filed under: uncultured eukaryote
Lineage: Eukaryota
Description: partial 18S ribosomal RNA
Rfam family: Eukaryotic small subunit ribosomal RNA
Source: RNAcentral